Molecule: non-coding RNA, 519 nt
Filed under: Thermobrachium celere DSM 8682
Lineage: Bacteria; Bacillati; Bacillota; Clostridia; Eubacteriales; Clostridiaceae
Description: Bacterial large subunit ribosomal RNA
Rfam family: Bacterial large subunit ribosomal RNA
Source: Rfam by way of RNAcentral
GAUCAAGCUACAAAGGGCGCAUGGUGGAUGCCUUGGCACCAGGAGCCGAUGAAGGACGUGGUAAGCUGCGAAAAGCUGCGGGUAGCCGCAAACAGGCUGUGAUCCGCAGAUGUCCGAAUGGGGGAACCCGCAUGGCUAACGCCAUGCAUCCUUAGCUGAAUCCAUAGGCUAAGGAGGGCACACCCGGGGAACUGAAACAUCUAAGUACCCGGAGGAAAAGAAAGAAUAAUCGAUUCCCUAAGUAGCGGCGAGCGAAAGGGGAGGAGCCCAAACCAGAGGAAACUCUGGGGUUGCGGACAGGUCAAGAAAGCGAAGGAGUUCUUAGCCGAAUAGGUCUGGAAAGGCCAGCCACAGAAGGUAAAAGCCCUGUAGGCGAAAAGGACUUUGAGCGAGACCUGAUCCAGAGUACCACGGGACACGAGGAACCCUGUGGGAAGCAGGGAGGACCACCUCCCAAGGCUAAAUACUACCUGGUGACCGAUAGCGCAUAGUACCGUGAGGGAAAGGUGAAAAGAACCC